This is a long non-coding RNA of Pongo pygmaeus (Bornean orangutan), 1178 nucleotides long. RefSeq lists it as uncharacterized. NCBI's taxonomy places the organism in Eukaryota, Metazoa, Chordata, Mammalia, Primates, Hominidae. The transcript has 3 exons. The record is from RefSeq and is a predicted model, not a curated record.
GAUUGGCUUUGGGUGUUUCUUCAAAGUUAAAUCCACCAUGGAACUUCAGCUUAGAUUUUCAAAUAAUACAACCUUAGAAGUAACUAUUUGAGUCAGACUUUCUACUUGUAGGUACAGAACGUCUCCUCCUAUGGAUAAACGCCAAAUUAUUGUUAUGAGAUCAGAAAAGCCGUCAAGAUCUAAGGAAGCUGGAGGUGAACGAAAGAAGCCUGUGGAAAUCUUCCACUCAAAUAGCAUAUACUGCUCUCAGAGAAGUUAUUAUAACUAUAGAUAAAGGGGGAAAGAACAGACAAAGCUUUUGGCUUUGUAUUUUUUUGUAUCAUCAGUCUUGCCUUUGUGAGGAUAUACGAUGUUCUUGCAUCAGCAGCAGUUAGAUUUUUUUCCCACUGGAAACAUCAAGUACGGACUGUGAUAUAGAGUGUCCAGGUAAAGUCAUGGAGGCUGCAAGAUGUCAUAGGAGAAAAUGUGGCCAUGUGAGAUCUAAGCAGCCCAAAGCAACUAAGUUUCCCCAUGCCAAAAUGAUGCAGAAGAGAGGCUGGAUUCCUGCAUGCCUAAGAGCACUCAGGAGGAGUGAAUUCUACCAGUACCCAGCUACCCAGCCACCCAGCGGGACAUGGAGGGACAGAAUACCUUUUGUGCUCCCAAGGGCCCACUGAUAAGCCCAGGGCCUUAUCAGCCUUAGUAAGUUCCUGUGUCCAAGGAACUGCAUCCAAGAGAGACACAGAAGUAGCAGAAAGAGCCACCCAGCUUUGAAAGAGCUCUGAGAUGAGAACGAAAUGUCCCUAGCAAUGAUCUCUGUUGCCUGAGGACCAGGAACCAGGCCGAAUGAUGGUCAUCUCAGGGGCUUCCAUACAUAAGCCCCCAGGAAACGCAAGGUGUAUAAGAAGAUUAUAUUUCCCAGCCCCCUUGCCUUUCAACAGAGACACGUAAUUGAUUCCUGGCCAAUGAAAUUUGAGCAGAAGGAAUAUACCACUUCUAGGCCUGGGUUCUAAACCCUUCUGUAUGAUCUCCACUUCCUCUCUCCUUUGUCUUGUCAGUGCCACCAGAUUCAGAGGACCUAAGGGAGGAUUCUGAGAUCCAUGUGAAAGGAGCCUGAAUCCGUGAAUAACUACGUGGAGUAGACACCCUUGACCACAAAAGUACAUGGACAUGAGCAAUAAAAUAAGGCUUUGUGUGUU